UACAGAGGUCUCAAGCGUUGUUCGGAUUCAUUGGGCGUAAAGGGUGAGUAGGUGGCGCCGUAAGUCAGGUGUGAAAUUUCGGAGCUUAACUCCGAAACUGCGUUUGAUACUGCGGUGCUUGAGGACUGGAGAGGAGACUGGAAUUCACGGUGUAGCAGUGAAAUGCGUAGAUAUCGUGAGGAAGACCAGUGGCGAAGGCGGGUCUCUGGACAGUUCCUGACACUGAGGAGCGAAAGCCAGGGGAGCAAACGGG
Molecule: ribosomal RNA, 253 nt
Filed under: uncultured bacterium
Lineage: Bacteria
Description: partial 16S ribosomal RNA
Rfam family: Bacterial small subunit ribosomal RNA
Source: RNAcentral